UACGUAGGGGCUAGCGUUAUCCGGAUUUACUGGGUGUAAAGGGAGCGCAGACGGAACUGCAAGUCUGAUGUGAAAGCCCGGGGCUCAACCGCGGGACUGCAUUGGAAACUGUAGAUCUGGGGUGCCGGAGGGGCAAGCGGAAUUCCUGGUGUAGCGGUGAAAUGCGUAGAUAUCAGGAGGAACACCGGCGGCGAAGGCGGCUUGCUGGACGGCAACUGACGUUGAGGCUCGAAAGCGUGGGGAGCAAACAGGAUUAGAUACCCUGGUAGU
This 270-nucleotide ribosomal RNA is filed under the name uncultured prokaryote. RNAcentral describes it as "partial 16S ribosomal RNA". It matches the Rfam family "Bacterial small subunit ribosomal RNA", at positions 524 to 794 of the family's 1533-position model. The record is from RNAcentral.